CAGAAAGCCUGGCACGUCAAUCGUUAUUGGCUUCAGUGUUCUGUGGAUUACUGUCAGCCAAAGUUUUUUCAUUGCUGGUGGAUGGAUCGCAGAUGCGUGGAAUAUUUCAUUUGAGAUGGUAGAACUCGACUUUUCUGAAAUAAGAAUUUCGAAUCUGGCGCUCAGGUACCAGAGAAAUAAUGCAGCCUGACAGUCUAAGGCCAUCCCAGCUGCGCACUGGUACCCGACAAUGCACUGAUGCAAGUAGACAAUUGUCGCAACAACCGGAUGAUCUACCGGAAAGGGAUACACAGCAUCACUGGGAAAUUUUUCCGGCAGUAUCAGGGGUCCCAUUAAAACUGCGCUUGUAGUCAAAUAAUAGCUGCAAGUCAUGUAUCCAUGGAACUUCCAACAUUUGUCGACGUAUUUUUUUGACAGAAUCAGCAGCGUAGACUACUCGCAGAGUCGUGAAGUACGAGAACGUCGUAGAGAGAAACUGCAACAGGAAUAAAAAUAUUUAUCUUUAAAUACUCGCUACAAGAAAUUAAGCUAAUAAAGCAGUCAUACGGAUGUGUAGUAUCGCAGACAUAGACUGGGCAUUACUCCAUGUAUGGAUAUUGUACUUGGCGAUUGCGAUCGACAAAUUACGUUCAUUGUUGUUUUUACCAAACCAACGGAACCUUUUAGCCAUUUACUGUUGUAAGCACUCCGUCCGAUUGCUUGGCUCUGAAGUUGUCAGCAGGCCAGGCAUAAAUGAAAAGCUCGAUCGUUGCAUUCCCAACGAUGUUACCAACUCGUAGCUUAACAGACAUCGGCUGAUGCUGUACAUAAGCAUCUUUAGUCCAGUAUCCAGCAACUUAAAUUUUUUCCUGUUAAUUACUCACACUUAACAAUGCCAAACAGCCACAAA
Microplitis mediator is the source of this 889-nucleotide long non-coding RNA. RefSeq lists it as uncharacterized. The record is from RefSeq and is a predicted model, not a curated record. Lineage: Eukaryota; Metazoa; Arthropoda; Insecta; Hymenoptera; Braconidae. The transcript has 4 exons.